UAGCUUAUGCUUGUGCCAGCAGCCCGUGGUAAUACGUGAGGGUGCCAAGCGUUUAUCGGAAUUACUGGGCGUAAAGCGCACGCGGGCGGUCGGAUGAGUUAGAUGUGAAAGCCCCCGCGCUCAACCUGGGAAAUUGCAUUUAAAAGUGUCCAGUACCAGAUACGUCUUGUAGAGGGGGGUAGAAUUCCAGGUGCAGCUGUGAAGUGUGUAGAGAUCGGGAGGAAUUAACCGGUUGGUGAAGUAGCGGCGCCCCUGGACAAAGACUGACGCUCAGGUGCGAAAGCGUGGGGAGCGAAACAGGGUUAGAGACCCUGGUAAUCCACGCUCGUAAACGAGGUCGAUUUGGAGGCUGUGUCCUUGAGACGUGGCUUCCGGAGCUAACGCGUGAAAUCGACCGCCUGGGGAGUACGGCCGCAAGAUUAAAACUCAAAUGAAUUGACGGGGGCCCGCACAAGCGGUGGAGCAUGUGGUUUAAUUGCGAUGCAACGUGAAGAACCUUACCUGGCCUAUGACAUGUCUGGAAUCCUGUAGAGAUACGGAGAGUGCCUUCGGGAAUCAGAACUACUAGGUGCUGCAUGGCUGUCGUCAGCUCGUGUCGUGAGAUGUGAAAGCCCUGGGUUAAGUCCCGCAACGAGCGCAACCCCUGUCCUUUGUUGCCAGCACGUAAUGGUGGGUAGAACUCAAGGGAGACUGCCGGUGAUAAACCGGAGGAAGGUGGAGGAUGACGUCAAGUCAUCAUGGCCCUUACGGCCAGGGCUGACACACGUGCUACAAUGGCGCGUACAGAGGGCUGCAAGCUAGCGAUAGUGGUAGCGAAUCCCAAAAAGCGCGUUGUAGUCCGGAUCGGAGUCCUUGCAACUCGACUCCGUGAAGUCGGAAUCGCUAGUAAUCGCAAAUCAGAAUGUUGCGGUGAAUACGUUAAACCCGGGCCUUUACACACCGCCCAUCACACCAUGGGACAUGUGGGUUGCACCAGAAGUAGAUAGCUUAACCUUCGGAGGGCGUACCAUAGUUUUAUCUUUCCUAAAAAAGGAAAGCUCCGGA
RNAcentral lists this ribosomal RNA (1044 nucleotides) under Aeromonas veronii. RNAcentral describes it as "bacterial SSU rRNA". It matches the Rfam family "Bacterial small subunit ribosomal RNA", at positions 494 to 1460 of the family's 1533-position model. Lineage: Bacteria; Pseudomonadati; Pseudomonadota; Gammaproteobacteria; Aeromonadales; Aeromonadaceae. The record is from RNAcentral.